Molecule: ribosomal RNA, 433 nt
Filed under: uncultured bacterium
Lineage: Bacteria
Description: partial 16S ribosomal RNA
Rfam family: Bacterial small subunit ribosomal RNA
Source: RNAcentral
AACGAACGCUGGCGGCAUGCCUAACACAUGCAAGUCGAACGAAGGCUUCGGCCUUAGUGGCGCACGGGUGCGUAACGCGUGGGAAUCUGCCCUUUGGUUCGGAAUAACAGCUGGAAACGGCCGCUAAUACCGGAUGAUGACGAAAGUCCAAAGAUUUAUCGCCAGAGGAUGAGCCCGCGUUGGAUUAGGUAGUUGGUGGGGUAAAGGCCUACCAAGCCGACGAUCCAUAGCUGGUCUGAGAGGAUGAUCAGCCACACUGGGACUGAGACACGGCCCAGACUCCUACGGGAGGCAGCAGUGGGGAAUAUUGGACAAUGGGCGCAAGCCUGAUCCAGCAAUGCCGCGUGAGUGAUGAAGGCCCUAGGGUUGUAAAGCUCUUUUACCCGGGAAGAUAAUGACUGUACCGGGAGAAUAAGCCCCGGCUAACUCCGUG